Molecule: long non-coding RNA, 423 nt
Filed under: Taeniopygia guttata (zebra finch)
Lineage: Eukaryota; Metazoa; Chordata; Aves; Passeriformes; Estrildidae
Description: lncRNA (ENSTGUG00000028937.1)
Source: RNAcentral
GUGGAAAUGCAUUUUUCCUUGUACCCAGUACAAAAUAUCCCCAGGACAAUAGGAGAAAGAAGAGCAUAUACUUGGGAAGCUGAAAAAGAAAUGCCUUCACCAUGACAAAUGUACAGCAGCACUUAAAAAGUACUGCCUCCUGAAAUAAGGAGAUUUGAAGAAUAAAGAGCAAAUACAUUUUCUCAUUUCUUCAGAUGAAAAGGUCCAAGCAGGAUUGGAAACCUGUCAGUAUCUCUGCAUUGGUGGCUCCCUCCAUUUCCAGCUCAUUCAGUAAAAGCACAUUUCAGGAAAUCUGACAUUACUACCAAGGAAGUAUUGUCCACCAUGCAGGCUGAGCUGGUUCUUGCAAUCCUUUCACCUGCAGAAAGCCCCAGAUCCCUUUCCCAACCUGGAGGACUGAUGGCUUCAUUCUGCAAGGGCUGA